AUUGAACGCUGGCGGCAUGCCUAACACAUGCAAGUCGAACGGCAGCACAGUCUAGCUUGCUAGAUGGGUGGCGAGUGGCGAACGGGUGAGUAACGCGUGGGAAUAUGGCUUAAAGAGUGGGACAACUUGGGGAAACUCAAGCUAAUACCGCAUAAGCUCUUAGGAGGAAAGCUGGGGACCUUCGGGCCUGGCGCUUUAAGAUUAGCCUGCGUCCGAUUAGCUAAUUGGUAGGGUAAGGGCCUACCAAGGCGACGAUCGGUAGCUGGUCUGAGAGGAUGACCAGCCACACUGGGACUGAGACACGGCCCAGACUCCUACGGGAGGCAGCAGUGGGGAAUAUUGGACAAUGGGGGCAACCCUGAUCCAGCAAUGCCGCGUGUGUGAAGAAGGCCUGAGGGUUGUAAAGCACUUUCAGUGGGGAGGAGAGAUGUCAGGUUAAGAGCUGGACAUUGAGACGUUACCCACAGAAGAAGCACCGGCUAACUCCGUGCCAGCAGCCGCCGUAA
Molecule: ribosomal RNA, 506 nt
Filed under: uncultured bacterium
Lineage: Bacteria
Description: partial 16S ribosomal RNA
Rfam family: Bacterial small subunit ribosomal RNA
Source: RNAcentral